GUAGGGAAUAUUGCGCAAUGGGGGAAACCCUGACGCAGCGACGCCGCGUGAGUGAUGAAGGCCUUCGGGUCGUAAAGCUCUGUUGCAGGGGAAUAAAAAAAUGAAGGUACCCUGUGAGGAAGGAUCGGCUAACUUCGUGCCAGCAGCCGCGGUAAGACGAGGGAUCCUAGCGUUGCUCGGAAUCAUUGGGCGUAAAGAGGGCGUAGGUGGCUUGGUAAGUCAGGUGUGAAAGCCCAGGGCUCAACCCUAGAAGUGCAUUUGAUACUGCUGAGCUUGAGUGUCGGAGAGGUUACCGGAAUACCUGGUGUAGUGGCGAAAUACGUAGAUAUCAGGUGGAACACCGGAGGCGAAGGCGGGUAACUGGACGAACACUGACACUGAGGCCCGAAAGCGUGGGGAUCAAACAGGAUUAGAAACCCUGGUAGUCC
RNAcentral lists this ribosomal RNA (428 nucleotides) under uncultured bacterium. RNAcentral's name for it is "bacterial SSU rRNA". It matches the Rfam family "Bacterial small subunit ribosomal RNA", at positions 354 to 796 of the family's 1533-position model. The record is from RNAcentral.